Molecule: ribosomal RNA, 427 nt
Filed under: uncultured bacterium
Lineage: Bacteria
Description: partial 16S ribosomal RNA
Rfam family: Bacterial small subunit ribosomal RNA
Source: RNAcentral
GUGGGGAAUAUUGGGCAAUGGGGGCAACCCUGACCCAGCGACGCCGCGUGAGGGAAGAAGGCCUUAGGGUCGUAAACCUCUGUUGUGUGGGAAGAAGAGCGUGACGGUACCACACGAGGAAGUCCCGGCUAACUACGUGCCAGCAGCCGCGGUAAUACGUAGGGGACGAGCGUUGUCCGGAUUUACUGGGCGUAAAGGGCGCGUAGGCGGUCAUUUAAGUCAGCUGUGAAAUGGUUUGGCUUAACCGGAUCAUGCGGUUGAAACUGGAUGACUGGAGUGCUGGAGAGGCAAGUGGAAUUCCCAGUGUAGCGGUGAAAUGCGUAGAUAUUGGGAAGAACACCGGUGGCGAAGGCGACUUGCUGGCCAGCAACUGACGCUGAGGCGCGAAAGCCAGGGGAGCAAACGGGAUUAGAUACCCUUGUAGUCC